AGAAUCAACGCUGGCGGCGCGCUUAACACAUGCAAGUCGCACGAGAAAGUGGAGCAAUCCAUGAGUAAAGUGGCGUACGGGUGAGUAACACGUGGAUCAUCUACCUUUUAGUGGGGAAUACCUCCGGGAAACUGGAGACAAUACCGCAUAAGCUCGUAAGAGGAAAGCCGAAAGGCGCUGAAAGAGGAGUCCGCGGCCGAUUAGUUAGUUGGCGGGGUAACGGCCCACCAAGACGAAGAUCGGUA
This 245-nucleotide ribosomal RNA is filed under the name uncultured bacterium. RNAcentral's name for it is "partial small subunit ribosomal RNA". It matches the Rfam family "Bacterial small subunit ribosomal RNA", at positions 26 to 285 of the family's 1533-position model. The record is from RNAcentral.